GGAACUGAACCCGGCACCCCUGCCUUGCGAGUCUGCUGGAGGAGCGGAUCUGAAGGGCGAGCCCGGGUUGCGGAGCUUUUGACACCUUUUCGGAGCAGGCGGGCUCAAGAAGAUUUGGGUUCGGAUUCUGCCAAACGGGGCUGGUUUCUCCUCCCCCAUUGCAUCCCACUGCUGGGCCCCCCUUGGGCUGAAAUCAGUCAGUGGGGGCACUGCCCAUUCUCACACUUGGGAAGCACUUGAAGCUCCCCUUCAGCCGGCUGGCCCCUCCAAUCCAACCCCCACCCCCAAAGCAGACUGCAGGGGAGAGAUGCCCUUGAGUGGCCAUUCUGGGGACUGCCAGAGCCCCACCCUGCCCCUCUCAGAGAUUUAAAGGGCUUAGUUUCUCAUUUCAGCCCAGAGAUUUCUUGGUGGCCUCCCAUCCUAGAAUAAACCAGCCCAUCAAUCCUGGCUUGGAUUUUUCAAGCUCAACCGAGGUUGAGUAGCUGCUACAGUUCCUGGAGAGCCAACCUGGUCACCCCACGGCACCCUGGGAGAAUCAGUGCAGGAGAGAGAAUCCCAACUGAGCCCAAAACUUACCUUGGUAAGCGAGACAGUUCUUAAGUGAGUUUUCCUCCGUGUUAUGACCUUUCUCAACACGGUCAUUAAGUGAAUCCCCCAUUGACUUUGCUUGUUAGAAGAUCACAAGAGGCGAUCUCGGGACACUGCGACCUCGGGACACUGCGACCGUCGUAAACACGAGUCAGUUUUGCCAAGCAGCUGAAUUUUGAUCACGUGACCCUGGGGACGCUGCAACGGUCGUAAGUGUGAAAAACAGCCCUGAGUCGCUUUUUUCAGUGCAGUUGUAACUUCGAACGGCCAGUAAAUGAAGUGGUGUAAGUCGAGGACUAUCUAAGCAGGCUUAGUUUCCCAAAAUCAGCAGUUGUGGUGCUGACCUGUUGUGCCGUCUCCCCGCCAGAGCUGCUCCCCCAUCGACCCAGGAGUUGGAGCCUCCGCCUGGCCUUCCGAGUCAGCCUCACGUGGCACAUCAGGGAUCAGCUCAUAAAGACUUGAAUACAGGGAGUCCUUGCUUAACGACCAGUUGUGAUGCAAUGUGGCUGCUCGGAAAAUGGGGGCGGCUUCCAGAUCAUGCCAUGAAGCCCAAGAACGGAGGGGCCUGUCUUCCUUCCCUGCCCAACUCUGCUAGGUGUCUUUUCACCAGGAGACGAGGGAAGAUUUUGAUGGGUGCCUGCUACCUGCUCUUAACACACGGCAGCGAAACGUGGACACUAACCUCACAAUCGAUACAAAAGCUACAAGUGGCACCAAGAGCCGCAGAAAGAUAGAUGCUCAGCAUCCCAAGAGAAGAUAGAAAGCCCCACGCUUGGACUAGAGCAGGGAUCUCC
Molecule: long non-coding RNA, 1382 nt
Organism: Ahaetulla prasina
Lineage: Eukaryota; Metazoa; Chordata; Lepidosauria; Squamata; Colubridae
Exons: 3
Source: RefSeq, a predicted model, not a curated record